AGCAGCCGCGGUAAUUCCAGCUCCAAUAGCGUAUAUUAAAGUUGCUGCAGUUAAAAAGCUCGUAGUUGAAUUUCGGGACUAAUAUGUCGGUCGUGCCUCGGUACGUACUGGCUUAUUGGUUUCUCCUUUCUGAAGAACCAUGAUGUCAUUUAUUUGGUGUCGUGGGGAAUCAGGACUGUUACUUUGAAAAAAUUAGAGUGUUUAAAGCAGGCUCACGCUUGAAUACAUUAGCAUGGAAUAAUGAAAUAGGACGUUUGAUUCUAUUUUGUUGGUUUCUAGGAUCGACGUAAUGAUUAAUAGGGAUAGUUGGGGGCAUUAGUAUUCAAUUGUCAGAGGUGAAAUUCUUGGAUUUAUUGAAGACUAACUACUGCGAAAGCAUUUGCCAAGGAUGUUUUCAUUAAUCAAGAACGAAAGUUAGGGGAUCGAAGACGAUCAGAUACCGUCGUAGUCUUAACCAUAAACUAUGCCGACUAGGGGUCGGAUGAUGUUAAUUUUUAAUGACUCAUUCGCGCCUUAAC
RNAcentral lists this ribosomal RNA (518 nucleotides) under uncultured Glomus. RNAcentral describes it as "SSU rRNA". It matches the Rfam family "Eukaryotic small subunit ribosomal RNA", at positions 569 to 1091 of the family's 1831-position model. The record is from RNAcentral. Lineage: Eukaryota; Fungi; Glomeromycota; Glomeromycetes; Glomerales; Glomeraceae.